GGCUGUCAGGGUCAGAUGACUGCUCAGCCUGAUUAGACCAGCUCAUAGCAGAUCCUAAGCCCAACACACACUGCACCUUUAUACCAAGGUGGAUCUACGAGCUGGCACAUUCAGUACGUCGCAGUUGAGGAGGCCAGAAGGGACACGAGGUGGAUAGUUUAGUGUUAUAGUGGGGCAGAGCUAAAGGUUAUCAAGGAAACAUUUAACCUUCUGCUGCUGCUCCUUCCUGCUUGACUACCAGGACCAAAGACUGAAAGAGGUGUUUUUUUACUGUAACAAGAAGGCAGAAGAACUGGUGUUUAGCCAGUGUUUGGAGAUGACGCUGAAAAGCUAAGCGGACUUUGGUGUAACUGCCAGUCAGAGCCCUGUGGAUUUCCCCUGUUCAGCAGACAAGCUGUCCUCUGAGACCUUGUGAAGAAGUAGCCAUAAGGUGGCUCUAAAAUAAUACUGAGAUCCAUUUUAGCCUCUCUGUGUCCUGAUCCACCAUGUGACAGUGAAACAGCUAGGCAGCCAGUCUGGAGACAUGCCUAUUUUUACAAACCAAACUACACUCUAAGGUAAAAGUGCCAAUUGGCUUUAAGGUUUAACUGGAAUUACUUCUGUCUGUUUCUGUAUGUUACCCUCAUAUGAAAUCAUUAUACUUCAGAUGUUUGCUAAAAUUGUGAACAGUUGACCUUUUAGUUAAGUUUAGAUGCCUUAAAACAGGUUUCUGUGUACUCACAGAGUGUCUGUGACAGUGCCAGCUAUGCUGCUUUGCAAAUUAGCUUUUAUCCUGUGUCUCCGUUGCAACUUUGGUGCCCUCGGGUCGCACAAGGCUUCAAGUGAAAUGAAUGUUCACUUUUAACCAGCUCAGUGGAAAAUAAGCGACCUCUAUCCCGAUUAGCGGUGACACAGGAUAAAAUCCUAAAUAUAGAUUGUCAACAACUUGGAACUGACUACCCUCUUCUGGAAGAGUGAGUGUGUAAGUCUGUGAGUGAUUAUGUGUGUGUGUGUGUGUGUGUCUGCGUGUGUUGUCAGUGCAGAGGCCAAAAGGUGACCAGAGAUUACCUCUGGACCUUCCUUUGUUGUUUAUUUGAUUGCCUUGUUUGAGUGGUAGGUAGAAUUAUUUGGAAAGCUAAAAGUAUGCUGCAUUUUUAUGAGAAAUAUUAUUAAGAUGAUUCAGUGCUUUGUUUUGAAUCAUACAUUAAGAAGAGCCUAACACAACUUAUAUCUGUACUUUAGAGAAACCGCAUUAUAACUAACAAGCAGUGUUCAUCCUAAAUGCUUUCAUAACUCUGUAUGUGCUGAACUGCUGAACAGAGCCUUUUUUCCUGAAAAUAUAUUAAACUGAUAUGCAUGUGGGGUUAAGGUUCAGAAUAAAUCAAAGCAAGUUACUUCAGAUUCUCCACAGUUUCACAAAAUAUUUUUAUCUUGUCUUUUUUUGUGCCGAGCCACAACAAAAAACACCUAGGCUAGAUUAAUCAGAGCAUCACUUUAUAUGAGAAUUUCUGCUCAUUUUUUUCUUCAAAGCUAACUUAAUUUUGUU
This is a long non-coding RNA of Astatotilapia calliptera (eastern happy), 1525 nucleotides long. NCBI's taxonomy places the organism in Eukaryota, Metazoa, Chordata, Actinopteri, Cichliformes, Cichlidae. The record is from Ensembl.